AAUGAGAGUUAAUAUAAUAAGUUAUUAACUCGCUUGACUAGGUCUUAUAAAGUUCUGGAUAAAGCUUAUUAUGAAAACUUUAUAUCCAUAGGUCUCGACCAAAUCUUGUGCCAGCAGUCGCGGUAAGACAAGGGAGACGAGUGUUAUUCAUCUUUAACAGGUAUAUAGGGUACCUAGACGGUGUGCAAUGGCUUAAAUAAGUACCUGGUACACUUGAGUUUGAUAUGUGAGAGGAAUAUGUUGGAAUUGUUGGAGGAAAGAUGAAAUUUGUUAAUACCAAUAGGACUGAUAACGGCGAAGGCAAACCUCUAUGUACAUGUACUUGCUAUUUCUGUUUUUAUUAGAGCAAAAUAGCAAUGUACUAUAACUGCCGUUGAGGGACGAAGGCUCAGAGAGUGAAGAGGAUUAGAUACCCCCGUAACCUGGGCAGACAAUGAUGAGUGCCAUAGGUUGGCUUAAGGCGGAACUAUAAAUGAAAGUGGAAGCACUCCACCUCAAGAGUAAUGUGGCAACGCAGGAACUGAAAUCAU
RNAcentral lists this ribosomal RNA (530 nucleotides) under Alternaria alternata. RNAcentral describes it as "SSU rRNA". It matches the Rfam family "Bacterial small subunit ribosomal RNA", at positions 400 to 909 of the family's 1533-position model. Lineage: Eukaryota; Fungi; Ascomycota; Dothideomycetes; Pleosporales; Pleosporaceae. The record is from RNAcentral.